UUUUAGGAUGGGACGAAGGUGUGUUGGGUAUGCAAGUGGGAGAAGCUGCUCGUCUUCAGUGCUCUCCUGACUAUGCGUAUGGUCCUAAUGGAUUUCCAGCAUGGGGAAUACUGCCCAACUCAGUUUUGGUUUUUGAAAUUGAGGUCCUAAGUGUGCAGUAAUCACCCUUUCAGAGUUGAAUCAUUUGCCUACUCUUUACAUAACAUUAUUAUGGAUUAUAUGUGCUUGGCUUUCUGUUCUGUGAACAUCUUUGGGGUUGAUAUGGUGAACUAGAUUUUUUA
Macadamia integrifolia is the source of this 281-nucleotide long non-coding RNA. RefSeq lists it as uncharacterized. Lineage: Eukaryota; Viridiplantae; Streptophyta; Magnoliopsida; Proteales; Proteaceae. The transcript is spliced from 2 exons. The record is from RefSeq and is a predicted model, not a curated record.